UUUGCUAUAAGUAGGCACAAACUUAUUUAGCUGAACUGAAGCUCUGAUUUUUCUAACAAAACUUUCCUUUGACUGUGAAAAUUAAUGUAGGUAGUGCAAUUUAAAAUUUUAUUUUGGCCUUUUCACACUGAAAUCUUUCUCCAAUUUUUGUUUUGACUGAACAAACAAUGGUUUGUAACAACAGUUAAUGUGCAUUUCAUUUUUCUCUCUACAUGGUAAUUUUCCUGGUAAUGUAAACGGUUUGUAAACCUCAUCAAAAUAUCCUCUAAAUGUGUUUCCAUGGUGCACUGAGAGAAUUAGUAGCUAGAAACAUAUCAAUAUAAUCCAACUGGUAUCUUAGAUUCAACUACUGGGGGGGAACAGGAAACACAAUCUCUCUCUAAUUAUUUAUUAUAAUUACAAGGUACUUUCCACUGCUUCUUGAAUGUCAUGAAACAAUCAAAUUCUGUGCUUAUAUGUCAAAGUAAUUAUUUUACCUUCCAAUAACCUGAUUUUAUGAAACAGGAUCAUACUUUUAAAACAUAACUCUCCAUAUAAUUCAAAACCUGAGAACUCUUUUGGAUGUUUAAACUUGAUCCCAACGCUUAAAUGAAUGUUGUAAAGACUGCUAUAGUUACUGAAGCAUUUUCCUUUUUUUAGUUUAUUAGUUGCUUCUCUAAUUCAUUGAGGCAAUGAAUUUUCCUUAUAGAGAACUACAGAAAAACCAUGAAUAACUCAGCACAAAAUAUGAAACAAGUUCUUGACAGCGAUGAUCAGAAGUACUGCUUGCCCAAAUUAAGAAAUUGCAAAACACAAAGAUGUGUGAGGUAAAUUCAGGUGGAAAACAAAACUAAGCCUCAUCUCUAGAUGGUGGUUUGGAUUCCCUAGAAGAUGUUAAGUUUGAAUAUCAUUAGUAGAUGGGCGAAGAAAUUAAGUAUGUGAUUAGUGUACUGGAUUAUAAUUCAUUUUGUUAAAAAUGAGCGUUAAAAAAGAAAUCAUCUCCUGCUCUUCUCCCAGUCUCUACAAUAAAAGUCCAAAUGGCCACUGUGCUCCA
This 1033-nucleotide long non-coding RNA is filed under the name Phasianus colchicus (ring-necked pheasant). Its description in RNAcentral is "lncRNA (ENSPCLG00000006709.1)". Lineage: Eukaryota; Metazoa; Chordata; Aves; Galliformes; Phasianidae. The record is from RNAcentral.